RNAcentral lists this ribosomal RNA (497 nucleotides) under uncultured bacterium. Its description in RNAcentral is "partial 16S ribosomal RNA". It matches the Rfam family "Bacterial small subunit ribosomal RNA", at positions 28 to 507 of the family's 1533-position model. The record is from RNAcentral.
GAUGAACGCUGGCGGCGUGCCUAAUACAUGCAAGUCGAGCGAACGGACGAGAAGCUUGCUUUUCUGAUGUUAGCGGCGGACGGGUGAGUAACACGUGGAUAACCUACCUAUAAAACUGGGAUAACUUCGGGAAACCGGAGCUAAUACCGGAUAAUAUUUUGAACCGCAUGGUUCAAAAGUGAAAGACGGUCUUGCUGUCACUUAUAGAUGGAUCCGCGCUGCAUUAGCUAGUUGGUAAGGUAACGGCUUACCAAGGCAACGAUGCAUAGCCGACCUGAGAGGGUGAUCGGCCACACUGGAACUGAGACACGGUCCAGACUCCUACGGGAGGCAGCAGUAGGGAAUCUUCCGCAAUGGGCGAAAGCCUGACGGAGCAACGCCGCGUGAGUGAUGGAGGUCUUCGGAUCGUAAAACUCUGUUAUUAGGGAAGAACAUAUGUGUAAGUAACUGUGCACAUCUUGACGGUACCUAAUCAGAAAGCCACGGCUAACUACGUG